GUGGGGAAUUUUGGACAAUGGGCGAAAGCCUGAUCCAGCCAUGCCGCGUGCAGGAUGAAGGCCUUCGGGUUGUAAACUGCUUUUGUACGGAACGAAAAGACUCCUUCUAAUAAAGGGGGUCCAUGACGGUACCGUAAGAAUAAGCACCGGCUAACUACGUGCCAGCAGCCGCGGUAAUACGUAGGGUGCAAGCGUUAAUCGGAAUUACUGGGCGUAAAGCGUGCGCAGGCGGUUAUAUAAGACAGAUGUGAAAUCCCCGGGCUCAACCUGGGAACUGCAUUUGUGACUGUAUAGCUAGAGUACGGUAGAGGGGGAUGGAAUUCCGCGUGUAGCAGUGAAAUGCGUAGAUAUGCGGAGGAACACCGAUGGCGAAGGCAGUCCCCUGGGCCUGUACUGACGCUCAUGCACGAAAGCGUGGGGAGCAAACAGGAUUAGAUACCCCGGUAGUCC
RNAcentral lists this ribosomal RNA (450 nucleotides) under uncultured bacterium. Its description in RNAcentral is "partial 16S ribosomal RNA". It matches the Rfam family "Bacterial small subunit ribosomal RNA", at positions 354 to 796 of the family's 1533-position model. The record is from RNAcentral.